Molecule: ribosomal RNA, 896 nt
Filed under: uncultured Acinetobacter sp.
Lineage: Bacteria; Pseudomonadati; Pseudomonadota; Gammaproteobacteria; Moraxellales; Moraxellaceae
Description: bacterial SSU rRNA
Rfam family: Bacterial small subunit ribosomal RNA
Source: RNAcentral
UGAGCUGGCGGCAGGCUUACACAUGCAAGUCGAGCGGGCGAGGUUGCUUCGGUAACUGAGCUAGCGGCGGACGGGUGAGUAAUGCUUAGGAAUCUGCCUAUUAGUGGGGGACAACAUUCCGAAAGGGAUGCUAAUACCGCAUACGCCCUACGGGAGAAAGCAGGGGAUCACUUGUGACCUUGCGCUAAUAGAUGAGCCUAAGUCGGAUUAGCUAGUUGGUGGGGUAAAGGCCUACCAAGGCGACGAUCUGUAGCGGGUCUGAGAGGAUGAUCCGCCACACUGGGACUGAGACACGGCCCAGACUCCUACGGGAGGCAGCAGUGGGGAAUAUUGGACAAUGGGGGGAACCCUGAUCCAGCCAUGCCACGUGUGUGAAGAAGGCCUUUUGGUUGUAAAGCACUUUAAGUGGGGAGGAGGCUUACCUGGUUAAUACCUGGGCUAAGUGGACGUUACCCACAGAAUAAGCACCGGCUAACUCUGUGCCAGCAGCCGCGGUAAUACAGAGGGUGCGAGCGUUAAUCGGAUUUACUGGGCGUAAAGCGCGCGUAGGUGGUUAAUUAAGUCAAAUGUGAAAUCCCCGAGCUUAACUUGGGAAUUGCAUUCGAUACUGGUUAGCUAGAGUAUGGGAGAGGAUGGUAGAAUUUCCAGGUGUAGCGGUGAAAUGCGUAGAGAUCUGGAGGAAUACCGAUGGCGAAGGCAGCCAUCUGGCCUAAUACUGACACUGAGGUGCGAAAGCAUGGGGAGCAAACAGGAUUAGAUACCCCUGGUAGUCCAUGCCGUAAACGAUGUCUACUAGCCGUUGGGGGAUUUGAUCCUUUAGUGGCGCAGCUAACGCGAUAAGUAGACCGCCUGGGGAGUACGGUCGCAAGACUAAAACUCAAAUGAAUUGACGGAAG